RNAcentral lists this ribosomal RNA (312 nucleotides) under uncultured soil bacterium. RNAcentral's name for it is "bacterial SSU rRNA". It matches the Rfam family "Bacterial small subunit ribosomal RNA", at positions 26 to 336 of the family's 1533-position model. The record is from RNAcentral.
AGGAUGAACGCUGGCGGCGUGCUUAACACAUGCAAGUCAUGGGGGGCCCGAGGCGCAAGCUUAGGGCAACCGGCGAACGGGUGCGUAACACGUGAGCAACCUACCCAGGUGUGGGGGAUAGCCGUCCCAACGGACGGGUAAUACCGCAUACGCUCAACACGAGGCAUUUCGAGUUGAGGAACCUUCGGGGCACCAUGAGGGCUCGCGGCCUAUCAGCUAGUUGGCGAGGUAACGGCUACACCAAGGCUACGGACGGGUAGCUGGUCUGAGAGGAUGACCAGCCACGAUUGGGACUGACGAAACCGCCCAGAC